This 459-nucleotide ribosomal RNA is filed under the name uncultured bacterium. RNAcentral describes it as "partial 16S ribosomal RNA". It matches the Rfam family "Bacterial small subunit ribosomal RNA", at positions 338 to 795 of the family's 1533-position model. The record is from RNAcentral.
CCUACGGGAGGCAGCAGUGAGGAAUAUUGGUCAAUGGCCGCAGGGCUGAACCAGCCAAGUCGCGUGAGGGAUGACGGUCCUAUGGAUUGUAAACCUCUUUUGUCAGGGAGCAAAGUGCGCCACGUGUGGCGCUUUGCGAGUACCUGAAGAAAAAGCAUCGGCUAACUCCGUGCCAGCAGCCGCGGUAAUACGGAGGAUGCGAGCGUUAUCCGGAUUUAUUGGGUUUAAAGGGUGCGCAGGCGGAAUGUCAAGUCAGCGGUAAAAUUUCGGGGCUCAACCCCGUCGUGCCGUUGAAACUGGCGUUCUUGAGUGAGCGAGAAGUAGGCGGAAUGCGUGGUGUAGCGGUGAAAUGCAUAGAUAUCACGCAGAACUCCGAUUGCGAAGGCAGCAUACCGGAGCUCAACUGACGCUCAUGCACGAAAGCGUGGGUAUCGAACAGGAUUAGAUACCCCUGUAGUC